This 226-nucleotide long non-coding RNA is filed under the name Homo sapiens (human). Its description in RNAcentral is "HSALNT0334849". Lineage: Eukaryota; Metazoa; Chordata; Mammalia; Primates; Hominidae. The record is from RNAcentral.
CUGAAACACCAAAGUCCUCCGUGGAAGUUAAUGAAUUUCUUGAAAUAAGGUGGCCAAGGAGGCAGAGAUGGAGUCAGGGACUCUGUGAUCAACCCUGAGGAUUGGGAAGGAACUAUACAUACCAGGAGGCAAGGAGCACUGGGGGCCCUCCUGGAACUGCCUGUCACAGCGUCCUCAAAGAUCCAGAGAGCUGUUCGUCUUUGAGUAGGAACAUACAGAAAAGACG